Notolabrus celidotus (New Zealand spotty) is the source of this 657-nucleotide long non-coding RNA. RefSeq lists it as uncharacterized. Lineage: Eukaryota; Metazoa; Chordata; Actinopteri; Labriformes; Labridae. The transcript has 3 exons. The record is from RefSeq and is a predicted model, not a curated record.
AUUACUGUGUAUUAAGUUCCUCUGUUUCCCCUGUCCUGUGUUGGAUCAUUGUACAUCUCUCUUGUGUUCUCUGUGUUUCUUUUCUUGUGUUCCCUGUGUUUUAUUUGGAUUAACUUCUUGGACAUCUUUGACUCACUAGGAACAAAUCCACACUCAGUGGGAUGGAAUGAAAUGGAGAAAACAUCACGAUGGAAACAGACAGUGUCACAUCUCUGUAAAGUGAGUGUACCCCUCAUGACUGAGACCAGCUGUGACUCACAACUACAGCACCAGAGGGAUGGAAGAUGGAGAGACAUGGUGAACAAAGCUGCACAAAAGCAGGAAAGUUAACCAACAGCUGAGGAGGACUUAUGAUGCCUGGAGUGAUGUCCAAAGAUGGCGAGCAUAACAAGAUUACCUUAUCUAAUCUCUGGAUAUCCAAUAGAAUGCAGGUUAUUUCAUUGUAUGGUAUUAAAACAUUGAUACUGUAAGUGUUUUUAUUUACACACAUGAUCACACUUCAUUCUAUUCAAAUCUGACACUAACAUUUCAAAAUAAUUCAUUGUUUUUUUUAUAUAAUUGUAUUUCAUUGUGUGCAAGGGUCUAAAUACAUCAGGACAUCCUGUGAGUCAUCAUAAUCCCAAAAAAUGAAAAUAAAAAAUCCAACGUCAUGUCAUA